GCCCAGGUAGCUCAGUUGGUAGAGCAGCGGACUGAAAAUCCGCGUGUCGCUGGUUCAAAUCCGGCCCUGGGCACCA
This 76-nucleotide transfer RNA is filed under the name Devosia sp. Its description in RNAcentral is "tRNA-Phe". It matches the Rfam family "tRNA". From Rfam's summary of the family: Transfer RNA (tRNA) molecules are approximately 80 nucleotides in length. Their secondary structure includes four short double-helical elements and three loops (D, anti-codon, and T loops). Further hydrogen bonds mediate the characteristic L-shaped molecular structure. tRNAs have two regions of fundamental functional importance: the anti-codon, which is responsible for specific mRNA codon recognition, and the 3' end, to which the tRNAs corresponding amino acid is attached (by aminoacyl-tRNA synthetases). tRNAs cope with the degeneracy of the genetic code in two manners: having more than one tRNA (with a specific anti-codon) for a particular amino acid; and 'wobble' base-pairing, i.e. permitting non-standard base-pairing at the 3rd anti-codon position. Lineage: Bacteria; Pseudomonadati; Pseudomonadota; Alphaproteobacteria; Hyphomicrobiales; Devosiaceae. RNAcentral also lists the same sequence under 1 other name. The record is from RNAcentral.